UGGUUACAGAAGAAAAAUGUGAAGGUUCUGGUGUGGCCAUCACAGUCUCCUGACCUUAAUAUAAUCAAGCCACUCGGGGGAGAUCUCAAAUGUGCUGUUCAUGCUAGACGACCAAAGAUUUUGCAUGACCUCGAGGCAUUUUGACAGGAAAAUGAGCAGCUAUAACACCUGCAAGAAUUAGGGGCCUCAAAGACAAUUAUAAAAGUCUGCACGCUGUCAUUGAU
Non-coding RNA from Pelobates cultripes (western spadefoot toad), 224 nucleotides. The record is from the annotation of a GenBank genome assembly. NCBI's taxonomy places the organism in Eukaryota, Metazoa, Chordata, Amphibia, Anura, Pelobatidae.